This 264-nucleotide long non-coding RNA is filed under the name Lathyrus oleraceus (garden pea). RNAcentral describes it as "Pisum sativum (pea) long non-coding RNA (PSAT_LNC036106)". Lineage: Eukaryota; Viridiplantae; Streptophyta; Magnoliopsida; Fabales; Fabaceae. The record is from RNAcentral.
AGAGGCAGACCUAAUGUCAAGAACAUCCCGUCUGACAUUAAGAAAAGAUCAACUUCUGAGGAGAAGUUCAACCAUGGGAAGGGAAUCCAGUGUCAUGGCUGUGAAGGGUAUGGACACGUCAGAGCUGAAUGCCCUACUUACCUCAAAUUGCAAAGUAAGGGGCUAGCUAUCACAUGGUCUGAAGGAGAUUCUGAAAGUGAGUCUGAAGGAGAAUCUGCCAAACAUGUCACUGCACUAACCAGUGUGUGUGUCUCUGAAGAUGAC